Molecule: long non-coding RNA, 291 nt
Organism: Etheostoma cragini (Arkansas darter)
Lineage: Eukaryota; Metazoa; Chordata; Actinopteri; Perciformes; Percidae
Exons: 3
Source: RefSeq, a predicted model, not a curated record
CCAGACUCAACAUCAACAGCUGGGUGCAGAAGCAGACUCAAGAUAAAAUUAAGGAUCUGUUGACCCCGGGUGACGUGGACAGCCUGAGCAGGCUGGUGCUGGUUAAUGCCAUGUACUUCAAAAGUAACGAGAAGUUUCAGCAGCAUGACACACAGGAGGCUCACUUUAGACUCAACAAGAAUGACACCAAGCCAGUGAAGAUGAUGCACCAGACAGCAUUGUUCCCUUUCUCCGACAACCCUAAGGCCAACUGCAAGGUACUGAUGCAAUUGAUUAGUUAAUUUAAAAAAA